GCAAUCUGUGUGAGGACUACCUGAGUGUUACUGAGAGCUCCAAUUUCUAAAUAAAAGUGAACAGGGUUUGUCGGUACGCCAUGGCGUCACUGUUGGGUGUGGUCACAGAUGCAACGGAGAAGACUUCUGAACACAACCAGCGUCAACAAGUGUGUGUAACACACUUUCAACCAGAGGAGCCACUACAGUGAACCCCAGAGAGACUGUGGACAGGCGGAGACACAGAGCAGGGAUGAAGAGGACGGUUUGUCCCCUCUAAUAUGUUUCCAUCCACUCGUCAAUCAAAUGAUCUGAAGUUCCCUAAAAACAUUCAUGUGAGUAAAGCCGGUGAAAG
Perca fluviatilis (European perch) is the source of this 334-nucleotide long non-coding RNA. RefSeq lists it as uncharacterized. The record is from RefSeq and is a predicted model, not a curated record. NCBI's taxonomy places the organism in Eukaryota, Metazoa, Chordata, Actinopteri, Perciformes, Percidae. The transcript is spliced from 3 exons.